Molecule: microRNA, 21 nt
Filed under: Mus musculus (house mouse)
Lineage: Eukaryota; Metazoa; Chordata; Mammalia; Rodentia; Muridae
Description: mmu-miR-7672-3p
Source: miRBase by way of RNAcentral
UCGGCUGCCAGGUUCAUGUGG